RNAcentral lists this long non-coding RNA (275 nucleotides) under Elaeis guineensis (African oil palm). Its description in RNAcentral is "long non-coding RNA (EGUI_LNC056304)". Lineage: Eukaryota; Viridiplantae; Streptophyta; Magnoliopsida; Arecales; Arecaceae. The record is from RNAcentral.
UAUGGGUAUCCACUCAGGAUCAACCUAGAAUAGCUCUCUUUGGUAUUAAUUUUAUUCUCUAAGAAAAAUCAGCCUGCGAAUUUGAAUGAAGCCUGGAUCACGAUCAACUCUUUGAUCCUUUUCUUGAUCUUCUUCUUCUCUUCUUCUCUUACUUUUCUUUCCUUGAUUAUGAAGCAAUCAAUAUCUGAAAACCAUCAAGCAAAGGGGCAUCCAAACACCUUUUUGGCAUGGAGAAGCGGGAUGCCCAAACUCCUUGGGUAUUGGACUUCAAGAGG